GAAAGUACAGUUAAUCUGUAAUUUCUAGUUUACGUCUAGAAGAUUCUCUUAAGAGAUACUUUCU
RNAcentral lists this transfer RNA (64 nucleotides) under Hoplopleura edentula. RNAcentral's name for it is "tRNA-Val". Lineage: Eukaryota; Metazoa; Arthropoda; Insecta; Psocodea; Hoplopleuridae. The record is from RNAcentral.